UGGGGAAUAUUGGACAAUGGGCGAAAGCCUGAUCCAGCAAUGCCGCGUGUGUGAAGAAGGUCUUCGGAUUGUAAAGCACUUUCGACGGGGACGAUGAUGACGGUACCCGUAGAAGAAGCCCCGGCUAACUUCGUGCAG
This 138-nucleotide ribosomal RNA is filed under the name uncultured bacterium. RNAcentral describes it as "partial 16S ribosomal RNA". It matches the Rfam family "Bacterial small subunit ribosomal RNA", at positions 355 to 510 of the family's 1533-position model. The record is from RNAcentral.